AGUGAACGCUGGCGGUAGGCCUAACACAUGCAAGUCGAACGGCGGCACAGUAAGAGCUUGCUCUUACGGGUGGCGAGUGGCGGACGGGUGAGGAAUACAUCGGAAUCUACUUUUUCGUGGGGGAUAACGUAGGGAAACUUACGCUAAUACCGCAUACGACCUACGGGUGAAAGCAGGGGAUCUUCGGACCUUGCGCGAUUGAAUGAGCCGAUGUCGGAUUAGCUAGUUGGCGGGGUAAAGGCCCACCAAGGCGACGAUCCGUAGCUGGUCUGAGAGGAUGAUCAGCCACACUGAACUGAGACACGGUCCAGACUCCUACGGGAGGCAGCAGUGGGGAAUAUUGGACAAAGGGCGCAAGCCUGAUCCAGCCAUACCGCGUGGGUGAAGAAGGCCUUCGGGUUGUAAAGCCCUUUUGUUGGGAAAGAAAAGCAGCAGGUUAAUACCCCGCUGUUCUGACGGUACCCAAAGAAUAAGCACCGGCUAACUUCGUG
Molecule: ribosomal RNA, 491 nt
Filed under: uncultured bacterium
Lineage: Bacteria
Description: partial 16S ribosomal RNA
Rfam family: Bacterial small subunit ribosomal RNA
Source: RNAcentral